This is a long non-coding RNA of Olea europaea var. sylvestris, 499 nucleotides long. RefSeq lists it as uncharacterized. The transcript is spliced from 3 exons. The record is from RefSeq and is a predicted model, not a curated record. NCBI's taxonomy places the organism in Eukaryota, Viridiplantae, Streptophyta, Magnoliopsida, Lamiales, Oleaceae.
GCACCCACAAGAGAGCAAAGAAGCAUGAAGAGAUGGCAUUUGUUCUCCGGAAUAUGAGGGCAGCUGGAGGUGGAGAAAAGAAGUAAACUGCUGCACCUGGAUUUCUUAGGAAGGUUUCACGGUUUACAUCAAAUCAGAGAAAAGAUUUGAGUUGUUUAGCCCCUAUAUAAAGUUAAACUGAAGAUUGUAAUUUUGAUUUGAACGUUUGCAGAAGUUUGUUGAUGAGACUUGUUUUCUAUUGAAGACUUAAUCCAUUACACUGGAACUCCAGAAGCUUGAAAAAUGCUGCCCGGUCCAUUUUUCCUUCACCCCAGUGACCCCACUCCUCUCUCCCCAGAAAACAACUAAACUUCACUUUUUUUAUUUUAUUUUUAUUUUUUAUUUUUAUUUUGUAAAGCUAUGAUAUCUGAAAACCAUAUGGUACAUUUGUUUAAAAUCCAUUCAUUACCCAAUGACGGGAAACAAUAAAAGCAUUUCUACAUGCUUAAUUGAAAUUUCA